RNAcentral lists this ribosomal RNA (569 nucleotides) under Colletotrichum acutatum. RNAcentral's name for it is "eukaryotic LSU rRNA". The stretch from base 206 to 359 matches the Rfam family "5.8S ribosomal RNA". Lineage: Eukaryota; Fungi; Ascomycota; Sordariomycetes; Glomerellales; Glomerellaceae. The record is from RNAcentral.
UGCUUACGUGCGGAGGGAUCAUUACUGAGUUACCGCUCUAUAACCCUUUGUGAACGUACCUAACCGUUGCUUCGGCGGGCAGGGGAAGCCUCUCGCGGCCUCCCCUCCCGGCGCCGGCCCCCACCACGGGGACGGGGCGCCCGCCGGAGGAAACCAAACUCUAUUUACACGACGUCUCUUCUGAGUGGCACAAGCAAAUAAUUAAAACUUUUAACAACGGAUCUCUUGGUUCUGGCAUCGAUGAAGAACGCAGCGAAAUGCGAUAAGUAAUGUGAAUUGCAGAAUUCAGUGAAUCAUCGAAUCUUUGAACGCACAUUGCGCUCGCCAGCAUUCUGGCGAGCAUGCCUGUUCGAGCGUCAUUUCAACCCUCAAGCACCGCUUGGUUUUGGGGCCCCACGGCCGACGUGGGCCCUUAAAGGUAGUGGCGGACCCUCCCGGAGCCUCCUUUGCGUAGUAACUAACGUCUCGCACUGGGAUCCGGAGGGACUCUUGCCGUUACACCCCCACAUUCUUUACAGGUUGACCUCGCGAUCAGGUACGAACGAGCUGAACUUAAGCAUAUCGAUAGG